Long non-coding RNA from Dunckerocampus dactyliophorus (ringed pipefish), 3343 nucleotides. RefSeq lists it as uncharacterized. The transcript has 3 exons. NCBI's taxonomy places the organism in Eukaryota, Metazoa, Chordata, Actinopteri, Syngnathiformes, Syngnathidae. The record is from RefSeq and is a predicted model, not a curated record.
GCUCAGAUCACCUUUGUGUAUGCAUCACAAAUCACCGUAUGGUCGCUUUUUGGUGACGUCACUUCGUGUCUGUCCACGCGGUUCGAAGCGUACUGUUGGAAUCUGUUGCAAUCCAACGUGAGGCGUCGCUAUAAGAAGAAAAGCUGCUAGUGCUGCUCACCAGCCUGUUGGGCCCCUCUGUAGCCAUCUGAAGAUGAGCUCCAAAUGGCAGAGUCAUCUGAUGCCACAGCGCUGGUGUCGCUCAGCAGUCGGUUGGUUUGUCACCAGUCUGUGGAGCCCUCGGGGAAGGAGCGAGGUCAUGUUUGCAGAUCCUCAGGAUCCUGUCAGCGCUCUUCACCGGCAUGUCAAUGAAGACAUGUUUAAAGAGUUUUCGGAAGAGGAGUUUGAGGACAGAGGAAAGAGCUAAUCUGAGGACGUGUUUGAGCCAUACUUGGAAAAAAGGUUGAUAGAGAUUCAUCAGAGAAGAGCAAAUUCAAACGCAAAGGGUAAGUAAAGUCUUUUUUUUUUUUUUUUUUACAAUGCCUUAUGGGCUGAAUAGGUGAAUCCCUUUUACAUGCAUCAUCGACUGUCAGCACGUUAUCACAAAUGUACAUGUUAGCACAUUGUGACAGCAUGUCCAUGAAAGUUGUUAGAAAUUGUUUUACAAGGUUUUUAUAGGCCCUAUGUGAGAGGCGAAUCGUAGGGGUGUAACACUUCGUUUUAAUAACGGUUCCAUUCGUGGUAGCGACAAACAAGUAAGGAACAAUAAAUGGCAAAUGCCUUGAGAUUUCAUUUGAAGAAAGUGCAACCAACACAGUUGUCAUAAAAGUCAACAUAGUAUCAUUUACAUUUUUCAUCAUUAAAAAGUCCAGGGAAGAAAAGUGUAAUUUCAUGUAGGCCUCACUGCAAAUUGCAUGCACACAGUAAUUUCGGGGGAAAAUGAAAUAUCAUCUACAGAUAGAUAUUAAAGUGAAUUUAUAUCGUAUAUACUUUUUAUCGUGUUGUGACAGUCUGAUCCAUGAGUUUGAAAGGCGUAAAGUAGGACUUAAGUUUUGAUGUGGUCCAACAGUGUAUGAAUGUAAAGUAUAUACAGUGAGCGUCAUAAGUAUUUGCACCCCCUGUGAUUUUGCAAGUUCUCCCACUUAGAAAAUAGGGAGAGAUCUGAAAUUUUCGUCAUAGAUGCAUUUCCACUUUUAAAGACAUAAUCUUAAAAAAAAAAAAAAUCCUGAAAUCACAUUUCGAUUUUUUUGUAAAUUACUAUAGUUCAUAAGUAUUUGCACCCUUGAGAUAACAGGUAUUUUAGCCCACUCUUCUACACAAAUCCUCUCUAGAUCUGUCAGGUUUCGGGACUGUUGCUGAGCAACACGAAGUUUCAGCUCCCUCCAAAGAUUUUCUAUUGGAUUUAGGUCUGGAGACUGGCUAGGCCACUCCAGAACCUUGAUAUGCUUCUUACGCAGCCACUCCUUGGUCAUCUUGGCUGUGUGCUUCGGAUCAUUGUCAUGUUGGAAGAUCCAGCCACGACUCAUCUUCAAUGCUCUGGCUGAGGGAAGGAAAUUGUUGUCCAAAAUCUGGCGAUACAUGGCCCCAUUCAUCCUCUGUUUAAUACAGUACUGUCGUCCUGUCCCCUUUGCUGAAAAGCACCCCCAAAGCAUGAUGUUUCCACCCCCAUACUUAACAGAAGGGAUGGUGUUCUUGGGGUGCAACUCAGCCUUUUUUUUCCUCCACACACGACGAGUGGAGUUUGCACCAAAAAGCUCUAUUUUUGUCUCAUCUGAUCACAUGACAUUCUCCCAUGACCCCUCUGGAUCAUUCAGAUGGUCCCUGGCAAAUUUUAGACGAGCCUGCACAUGUGCUGACUUCAACAGGGGAACCUUCAGUGCAAUGCAUGAUUUUAAACCUUUACGCUGUAGUGUUCUGACUUUGAAACUGUGGUUCCAGCUCUCUUCAGGUCAUUGACCAGCUCCUGCCGUGUAAUUCUGGGCUGAUUUAUCACUUUUCUAAUCAUGAGUGAUUCCCCACGAGCAGAGAUCUUACAUGGAGCCCCUGUCCGAGGUAGAUUAGCAGUCAUGUUUAGCCUUUUCCAUUUUCUAACAAUUGCAGCAGCUGUUGAUUUAUCCUCACCAAGCUGCUUUCCAAUUGUUCCAUAGCCUUUUCCAGCUUUGUGGAGCUCUACUAUUUUGUCUCUGGUGUCUUUGGAAAGCUUUCUUGUCUUGCCUAUGGUAGUAGUUGGAUUAUGACUGACUGUGGGGUGCAAAGGUGACAUUAAUGAGCUCAAAGGGGUGGUAGGUGGAUGGUUACUCGUGGGGUAAAGGUGGACUUUUUUAGGGUGGACUGAGAGCUCUUUGAGAGUCAAAAUUAUUGCUGAUUCUCAAGGGUGCAAAUACUUAUGAACCAUAGUAAUUUACAAAUAAAUCAUUAAAAGAUCAUACAAUGUGAUUUCUGGAUUUUUUUUUUUUUAGAUUAUGUCUCGAAGAGUGGAAAUGCAUCUAUGAUGAAAAUUUCAAAUCUCUCCCUAUUUUCUAAGUGGGAGAACUUGCAAAAUUGCAGGGGGUGCAAAUACUUAUGCCCCUCACUGUAAGUAUAAAGCGUGGUCAUGAAAUGACAGGCAGAAUGAUUUGAGUGUAGCGUCUGAGGUGUAGGGAUUUACUAGUCCACCACACUGUGAUCCUUGGUAACCAUAUGACGUCAUCCGUGCGCCCCCUCAACAGGCAUGACUAAUCAACAUACACCAAAUCAUAGUGAUAUAGAAGUAACGUUUAAAGUCUAUCGUUGAAAGUGCAAAAAAACAUCCAUAUAAAGCCUGGUGUGCUGAAAUGCAUUGUUUUAUUUACUAGUAUUGAUACAAUCAAUUUACCAUUUGUUAGAUUGAUAUGUUGUCCUGAAUGUAAAUUUGCUGAACACAGAUCGAUGUAGCUGAGUUGUUACACCCCUAGUGAAUUCCUGUUACAUUGCGUUGUGACUGUUGUCAUAUGUCUGAUGCACCUGUUACUGUAGGAGGGGUUGAGGAUUUAGGGUUUGGGUUAGGGGGUUGGGGUUUAGGGGUAGGUUAGGGUUAGGUUUCUGUACCGGAUUAGGGUUCUAGAGUGCGCGGGUUAGCGUUAGGGUUCUGUACCGGAUUAGGGUUCUGGAAUGCGCGUGCACGCGUUGGAGGGGACUUUGCGUUAGGGUUAGGGUUAGGGUUCUGUACCGGAUGCGCGCGUUGGAGGGGACUUGGUGUUAGGGUUAGGGUUCUGUACCGGAUUAGGGUUCUAGAAUGCACGUGCGCGCGUUGGAGGGGAGUUUGGGUUAGGGUUAGGGUUCUGUACCGGAUUAGGGUUCUAGAAUGCGUGCGCGUGUUGGAGGGGAGUUUGCGUUAGAGUUAGGG